GACGAACGCUGGCGGCGUGCCUAAUACAUGCAAGUAGGACGCACAGUUUAUACCGUAGCUUGCUACACCAUAGACUGUGAGUUGCGAACGGGUGAGUAACGCGUAGGUAACCUGCCUAUUAGAGGGGGAUAACUAUUGGAAACGAUAGCUAAUACCGCAUAACAGUAUGUAACACAUGUUAGAUGCUUGAAAGAUGCAAUUGCAUCGCUAGUAGAUGGACCUGCGUUGUAUUAGCUAGUAGGUAGGGUAAUGGCCUACCUAGGCGACGAUACAUAGCCGACCUGAGAGGGUGAUCGGCCACACUGGGACUGAGACACGGCCCAGACUCCUACGGGAGGCAGCAGUAGGGAAUCUUCGGCAAUGGGGGGAACCCUGACCGAGCAACGCCGCGUGAGUGAAGAAGGUUUUCGGAUCGUAAAGCUCUGUUGUUAAGGAAGAACGAGUGUGAGAAUGGAAAGUUCAUCACUGUGACGGUACUUAACCAGAAAGGACG
Molecule: ribosomal RNA, 493 nt
Filed under: Streptococcus anginosus
Lineage: Bacteria; Bacillati; Bacillota; Bacilli; Lactobacillales; Streptococcaceae
Description: bacterial SSU rRNA
Rfam family: Bacterial small subunit ribosomal RNA
Source: RNAcentral